Molecule: long non-coding RNA, 570 nt
Organism: Cajanus cajan (pigeon pea)
Lineage: Eukaryota; Viridiplantae; Streptophyta; Magnoliopsida; Fabales; Fabaceae
Source: RefSeq, a predicted model, not a curated record
UGCAUAGUAACUUCAAAAUUUCUAUAAAUAGGGACCUAAGGAUUUUGAAAAUUCAUAACUAGAGAGAAGAAAAGUUUAGAGAGAAGGAAUUCUAGAGAGAUAGAAAGAGAAAAUAAGAGAGAAGGUUCUGCCUAGGUUGUGAAAAGAGGAGGAGAAUAGAGAAGGUUCUGCUCUAGUUCCGGUUCCGGUUUAAGGAGAAAGAGAGGAGAUUCUGCCCAAAUUCCUAUUUAUCCAGGUGAUCAUCAUCAUGAGGAUGUUGGUGAUGAGGCCUAAAGGCUUCUUGGGGCAUGCUCUGAUAGGAUGUGACAUCGGGUUUAGCUAGGAUUUCUCUUAUGUCUUUCUUGUUCUAAAAAUAUUUUCUUUUCUUGUGUAAUUUAAUAAAUUAUAAAUUGAUUCCUAACUAGGAGGCACUGCCACCUUUACUGGGAUUAAUUUAUAAUCUUUGUUUUAUAAUAACUUCUUGAGUUUAAUAUUUAUGUGUAUGAAUUAUGAAUGUGCAUCUUCUACCUUAUGAUACUUAUUAUUUUAUAUCAUUCUAAGAAAAUCUUUUAUAAAUAUAGUUUAUGUUUA